AUUGAACGCUGGCGGCAGGCCUAACACAUGCAAGUCGAACGAGUGGCGGACGGGUGAGUAAUGUCUGGGAAACUGCCUGAUGGAGGGGGAUAACUACUGGAAACGGUAGCUAAUACCGCAUACCAUCAGAUGUGCCCAGAUGGGAUUAGCUAGUAGGUGGGGUAACGGCUCACCGAGGCGACGAUCCCUAGCUGGGCUAAGAGGAGGACCAGCCACACUGGAACUGAGACACGGUCCAGACGCCUAAGUGAGGCAGCGGUGGGGAAUAGUGCACAAUGGGCGCAAGCCGGAUGCAGCCAUGCCGCGUGUAUGAAGAAGGCCUUCGGGUUGUAAAGUACUUUCAGCGGGGAGGCGUUACCCGCAGAAGAAGCACCGGCUAACUCCGUGCCAGCAGCCGCGGUAAUAC
This 406-nucleotide ribosomal RNA is filed under the name uncultured bacterium. Its description in RNAcentral is "partial 16S ribosomal RNA". It matches the Rfam family "Bacterial small subunit ribosomal RNA", at positions 29 to 526 of the family's 1533-position model. The record is from RNAcentral.